GGCCGGAGCGGGGCGCCCGCAGGGCUCGGGGCCGCUGCGCUCUGGGUUUCUGGAUCCCGGAGCUGGGCCCCGACCCCCUAGAGGCACUGAGGCCGCCGAGGUGAUUUCCAGGGCUGAGCGGUGCAGCUGUAUUUUGCUAAAAGGUGGUUUGUUGUUUCAUUAAAAAAAAAAAAAAAAUUGUGAAAAAAGACACCUUUCCCGUUUUCUCACCUUUGCUUUAUUUGUAUCCAUCUUUUUCGCUUUGACUGUCUCAUUAGGAAGUGGGUGCUGCCCGUGGUGAAAUUAAACUACCACCGGGGCCUUGUCCAAGGCGGGGGGUGCUUACUCAAUCCGCGCUGACCCGUGGUCAGGGCUUGGAGCCGAGCUGUAGGGAGGGCGGGGUCCCCGCGCAGAGGUGAGGCGCGAGCUGCAGCCUGGCAGGGUUUCCAGCCUGGCAGGCUGUGUGCUCUGUAAUGCUUUGCCGAAUUGCAUUAGGCAGAAGGGGUAGGGAACUGCAUAUUUUGUUCACCAGAUUUGAGGGUGUUUGCUAUGUGCCAGCCUGCCUGGCAUUGGGAGCUAUUUAUGAUUUUCUUUCUUUUCUUUUCUUUUUUUUUUUUUUUUAAGUACUUCUUGUUUUGGCUCAGCAGUUAAGAAUUGAGGACUUCUGGUGAACAUAUAGUAUGCAAGAUGUAUGCAAAGCAGUAUUUGUGGUCCGUAGGUCAGGUACUCUCCAAACACUUAAAGAUUGUCCUGUAUGAAUUCUAUUAACAGGUCAAUGCAGAAUGGAUCAAAGCAGAAAAUAAGCCUGUCUGGCCAAAGCAAGACUCGACUGAAAGCAGUAACAAACCUAAAGCAGGAAUGUCUCAAUCNAAAAAAAAAAAAAAAAAAAAAAAAAAAAAAAAAAAGCCUGGGAAGUAAAUAUCUGGCAGGAUCCCUGUUUAAAGGGGAAAGUCUUCCGAGCAGGGCCAUCCGAAGGGCGAGAUGAACAGGAAAAGGGAAUUGAAUACAGUGAAAUUCUAUUCUUCUAUUAAGAGACUGGAGUCCCCUUUAUUCCUUCAUGUGUGCUAGGUGUAAGGAGUUGGUGUGUCAGCUGACAACCGUUCAUGGAAACCUCACCAAGAAAUGUCUGAUUUUCUAUAGAAUUUAAAGCCCCAGACUGAUCUAUUUUAGUUUCCAGGCAGGUGCUAAUUCUUAUGGCUACAGCAGGCAUCUCUCACUCUUUCAUGUGGCGUUUGGCUAAUAAUAGCUACCAUUUAUUGGCAGCUGCUAUGUUCUGAGAACAAGUUCAGCACUUUCUCUAAUUUGUUUCAUUUAAUCCUAACAGCAACACUGAAACUUGUUCUCCUCAUAUUAUAAAAGAAACUGAGGGCAGAUUUGGGCAGAUUAAAUAAUUUACUUGGGGUUAGAUAUCACCUACACUGCACAGCCAGCCCGGAGACCCAGGUUUUUUAGCUCCAAACCUGUACCCUGAAGGCAUUACAGAAUAGUGAUUAUGACUGUGGGCUCUAAGCCCUCCUGACUGGGCUCAAAUGCCCACCGUGUCAGCCUGGGCAACUUGUGGAACCUUUCUGUGCCUUGGUUUCCUCAUCUGAAAAUGGAGUUCUUAACCCAGUUAACAAAUAGGCGAAAGAUCUGGACGGAUGGCAAAUAAGCGUAUAAAACGAUGCUCAACGACAUACAUCAUUAAGAAAUUGCAAGUGAAAACAACAAUGACAUACCACCACGCCCCUAUUGGAAUAGCUAAAAUCCAAAACAUCGAUAACCCCAAAUACUGGGGAGGAUGUGGAGCGCCAGGAACUCUCAUUUAUUGCUUAUGGAAACGCGAAAGGGUACAGCCACUUUGGAAGACAGUUUGGUGAUUUCUUAUAAAGGUACACAUUCUUAGCAUAUGGUCUAGCAACCGUACUCUUCAACGUGGACUCGAAUAAGUGGAAAACUUAUGUCCACACAAAAACUUGUGCAUGAGUGUUUAGGGCAGCUUUAUU
Molecule: long non-coding RNA, 1964 nt
Filed under: Vulpes vulpes (red fox)
Lineage: Eukaryota; Metazoa; Chordata; Mammalia; Carnivora; Canidae
Description: lncRNA (ENSVVUG00000009539.1)
Source: RNAcentral